This 22-nucleotide microRNA is filed under the name Oryza sativa (Asian cultivated rice). RNAcentral describes it as "osa-miR2118d". The record is from miRBase by way of RNAcentral. Lineage: Eukaryota; Viridiplantae; Streptophyta; Magnoliopsida; Poales; Poaceae. RNAcentral also lists the same sequence under 3 other names.
UUCCUGAUGCCUCCCAUGCCUA